AGCGCGGUGGUGGCAACACCACUGGCGGCGACCGGCGCACGGGUGAGUAACACGUAUGCAACCUGCCCUCCACAGGGGGAUAAUCGGGAGAAAUCCCGUCUAAUACCGCAUAACGCCAACCGGGGGCAUCCCCGGUUGGCCAAAGGAGCGAUCCGGUGGGGGCUGGGCAUGCGCCGCAUUAGCCAGUUGGCGGGGUAACGGCCCACCAAGGCGACGAUGCGUAGGGGUUCUGAGAGGAAGGUCCCCCACACUGGUACUGAGACACGGACCAGACUCCUACGGGAGGCAGCAGUGAGGAAUAUUGGUCAAUGGGCGGAAGCCUGAACCAGCCAAGUCGCGUGAGGGAAGACGGUCCUAUGGAUUGUAAACCUCUUUUGUCGGGGAGCAAGGGGCGCCACGAGUGGCGUCAAGCGAGAGUACCCGAAGAAAAAGCAUCGGCUAACUCCGUGCCAGCAGCCGCGGUAAUACGGAGGAUGCGAGCGUUAUCCGGAUUUAUUGGGUUUAAAGGGUGCGUAGGCGGGACGCCAAGUCAGCGGUAAAAUGUCGGGGCUCAACCCCGUUGUGCCGUUGAAACUGGCGUUCUUGAGUGGGCGAGAAGUAUGCGGAAUGCGUGGUGUAGCGGUGAAAUGCAUAGAUAUCACGCAGAACUCCGAUUGCGAAGGCAGCAUACCGGCGCCCUACUGACGCUGAAGCACGAAAGCGUGGGUAUCAAACAGGCUUAGAUACCCUGGUAGUCCACGCAGUAAACGAUGAACACUAAUUGUCCGGCGCGAAUGAGCGCUGGGUGAUACAGCGAAAGCGUUAAGUGUCCCACCUGGGGAGUACGCCGGCAACGGUGAAACUCAAAGGAAUUGACGGGGGCCCGCACAAGCGGAGGAACAUGUGGUUUAAUUCGAUGAUACGCGAGGAACCUUACCCGGGCUCAAACGACGCAGGAAUGUUUUUGAAAGGAGGCAGCCCUUCGGGGCCUGCGUCGAGGUGCUGCAUGGUUGUCGUCAGCUCGUGCCGUGAGGUGUCGGCUUAAGUGCCAUAACGAGCGCAACCCCCAUUGACAGUUGCUAACAGGUAAAGCUGAGGACUCUGUCGAGACUGCCGGCGCAAGCUGUGAGGAAGGCGGGGAUGACGUCAAAUCAGCACGGCCCUUACGU
Molecule: ribosomal RNA, 1148 nt
Filed under: human gut metagenome
Description: bacterial SSU rRNA
Rfam family: Bacterial small subunit ribosomal RNA
Source: RNAcentral